Molecule: ribosomal RNA, 253 nt
Filed under: uncultured bacterium
Lineage: Bacteria
Description: partial 16S ribosomal RNA
Rfam family: Bacterial small subunit ribosomal RNA
Source: RNAcentral
UACGUAGGGGGCGAGCGUUGUCCGGAAUUAUUGGGCGUAAAGGGCGCGCAGGCGGUCUCUUAAGUCUGAUGUGAAAUCUCGUGGCUUAACCACGAGUGGUCAUUGGAAACUGAGGGACUUGAGGACAGAAGAGGAGAGUGGAAUUCCACGUGUAGUGGUGAAAUACGUAGAUAUGUGGAGGAACACCAGUGGCGAAGGCGACUCUCUGGUCUGUCUCUGACGCUGAGGCGCGAAAGCGUGGGUAGCAAACAGG